Molecule: ribosomal RNA, 492 nt
Filed under: uncultured bacterium
Lineage: Bacteria
Description: partial 16S ribosomal RNA
Rfam family: Bacterial small subunit ribosomal RNA
Source: RNAcentral
AGUGAACGCUGGCGGUAGGCCUAACACAUGCAAGUCGAACGGCAGCACAGUAAGAGCUUGCUCUUACGGGUGGCGAGUGGCGGACGGGUGAGGAAUACAUCGGAAUCUACUUUUUCGUGGGGGAUAACGUAGGGAAACUUACGCUAAUACCGCAUACGACCUACGGGUGAAAGCAGGGGAUCUUCGGACCUUGCGCGAUUGAAUGAGCCGAUGUCGGAUUAGCUAGUUGGCGGGGUAAAGGCCCACCAAGGCGACGAUCCGUAGCUGGUCUGAGAGGAUGAUCGGCCACACUGGAACUGGGACACGGUCCAGACUCCUACGGGAGGCAGCAGUGGGGAAUAUUGGGCAAUGGGCGCAAGCCUGGUCCAGCCAUACCGCGUGGGAGACGAAGGCCUUCGGGUUGUAAAGCCCUUUUGUUGGGAAAGAAAAGCAGCAGGUUGAUACCCCGCUGUUCUGACGGUACCCAAAGAAUAAGCACCGGCUAACUUCGUG